UGUCUGUCUGUUCCAUAAAAAGUAAAACUACUCUAUUCGUGACCAGCUUGGGCAACAUAGUGAGACUGUCUCUUUAAAAAAAAAAAAAAAAAAAAAAUUAAAAAUUAGCAGGUGUGGUGAUGCACACCUGUAGUCCUAGCAAUUCGGGAAGCUGAGGUAGGAAGAUCGCUUGAGCCAAGUGUUUGAGGUUAGAAUGAGCUAUGAUCGCACCACCUACACUCCAGCCUGGGCAACAGAGCAAGACCCAAAUGGCUCAUGGUUGCUUUGUUUGUUUUACCUUGUUGAGUGCCAGUGUGUAUUUUGAGCAAAGCAGUGUAAAUGGCCUUCUUGCCCUAGAGUCUUUCAUAAUUGAGCCUUAUUUAAUCUACCACUUUUGACCAUGAAAUUUAACAGGUGACUUCUUCUGGGUAUCUACUCCAGGUGAAGUGAUAUUUUUUUUGACUGAGAUGUCUAAAGC
This 457-nucleotide long non-coding RNA is filed under the name Homo sapiens (human). Its description in RNAcentral is "long non-coding RNA NONHSAT230433". Lineage: Eukaryota; Metazoa; Chordata; Mammalia; Primates; Hominidae. The record is from RNAcentral.